GGAAGUGUGGCCGAGCGGUUGAAGGCACCGGUCUUGAAAACCGGCGACCCGUAAGGGUUCCAGAGUUCGAAUCUCUGCGCUUCCGCCA
RNAcentral lists this transfer RNA (88 nucleotides) under Escherichia coli. Its description in RNAcentral is "tRNA-Ser". It matches the Rfam family "tRNA". Rfam says of the family: Transfer RNA (tRNA) molecules are approximately 80 nucleotides in length. Their secondary structure includes four short double-helical elements and three loops (D, anti-codon, and T loops). The record is from RNAcentral. Lineage: Bacteria; Pseudomonadati; Pseudomonadota; Gammaproteobacteria; Enterobacterales; Enterobacteriaceae. RNAcentral also lists the same sequence under 2 other names.